GCAGGCUGCAACCCGCCUGCAUGAAGUUGGAAUCGCUAGUAAUCGCGGAUCAGCAUGCCGCGGUGAAUACGUUCCCGGGCCUUGUACACACCGCCCGUCACACCAUGAGAGUCGGGAACACCCGAAGUCCGUAGCCUGACCGCAAGGGGGCGCGGCCGAAGGUGGGUUCGAUAAUUGGGGUGAAGUCGUAACAAGGUACC
This 200-nucleotide ribosomal RNA is filed under the name uncultured bacterium. RNAcentral's name for it is "partial 16S ribosomal RNA". It matches the Rfam family "Bacterial small subunit ribosomal RNA", at positions 1300 to 1500 of the family's 1533-position model. The record is from RNAcentral.